CAGCCGCCGCGGGAAUACGAAGGGUGCAAGCGUUACUCGGAAUUACUGGGCGUAAAGCGUGCGUAGGUGGUGGUUUAAGUCCGUUGUGAAAGCCCUGGGCUCAACCUGGGAAUUGCAGUGGAUACUGGAUCACUAGAGUGUGGUAGAGGAUAGUGGAAUUUCCGGUGUAGCAGUGAAAUGCGUAGAGAUCGGAAGGAACAUCUGUGGCGAAGGCGACUAUCUGGGCCAACACUGACACUGAGGCACGAAAGUGUGGGGAGCAAACAGGAUUAGAGACCCCUGUAGUCCCUGUCUCUUAUAC
RNAcentral lists this ribosomal RNA (301 nucleotides) under uncultured bacterium. Its description in RNAcentral is "partial 16S ribosomal RNA". It matches the Rfam family "Bacterial small subunit ribosomal RNA", at positions 509 to 807 of the family's 1533-position model. The record is from RNAcentral.